RNAcentral lists this transfer RNA (77 nucleotides) under Candidatus Peribacteria bacterium. Its description in RNAcentral is "tRNA-Ile". It matches the Rfam family "tRNA". Rfam says of the family: Transfer RNA (tRNA) molecules are approximately 80 nucleotides in length. Lineage: Bacteria; Candidatus Peregrinibacteriota; Candidatus Peribacteria. The record is from RNAcentral.
GGGUGUGUAGCUCAGCUGGUUAGAGCGCUACACUGAUAAUGUAGAGGUCGCAAGUUCAAGUCUUGCCAUACCCACCA